Hemicordylus capensis (graceful crag lizard) is the source of this 3516-nucleotide long non-coding RNA. RefSeq lists it as uncharacterized. NCBI's taxonomy places the organism in Eukaryota, Metazoa, Chordata, Lepidosauria, Squamata, Cordylidae. The transcript is spliced from 2 exons. The record is from RefSeq and is a predicted model, not a curated record.
UAGAAUACAGGAGGCGUUUACCAUUGCCUCCUCCCACACAGUGUGAGAUGAUGCCUUUCAGCAUCUUCCUAUAUGCCACUGCCCAAUAUAGGUGAUUCCCAUAGUCUGGGAAACAGAUUCGAACCGGCAACCUCUUGCUUGAUAAUCAAGUCAUUUCCCCACUGCGCCAUUAGAUGGUUUUACUCUGUGCAAAAAUGACUGCAAUUUUACCCUGAUCAUUCGAGGGCAGGGACAAAGAAAGGGUGAUAACACAGAGAAAGUUGUAAGUGCAACAACGCUAUUGCCUGUUUUCCAUCAUUGGAGAGGUCCAUGCUGCCAGUAAUCAUUAUGAGCAUUUGUCCGCUGAUGUGGUACCGAAGGUGAAAAUUCAUGGGUCUACUUUUCAGAUCCAAAGAACGGAGAAUGCCGGAGAGGAAGUUACAGGUAGACUUAAACCUCUUUCCUUUGAGGUGAUUGCUCCCUUCCAGACCCUGUCUGCUGAUGCCAGUUUUGCACAGACAGUUAAACUCCAUCAAAGGACAUGUUGCAAAUUACAAGUUAGUACGGUGCAUUCAUUUCAGUGCUGGAAAGACUGUCAGAUUGGGAAGUGGGGGUGUUUCCAUGUGAAUGCUGGCAGCCCAGACACAACGCAGAAUGGCUUAGAAGUGUCCCAUCUGCUUUUCUGACCCCUCCUAACAGCGCCUGAUCCAAAGUUCAAAGUCGGCUUGUUUUAAGAAAAAGGAAACAGCAAAGUGACUUUUUCUUCUUCAUCCUCCUGGAUCUCAUUGGACUGGAUUUGCAGCGGGUGUGAGCACAUGCAGAAUGCUAAUAUUUGGUAUCCAGGUGCUUGUUUGUUUGUUUUUAAACCUGCAACCCAGGAUUAACUCUUUUAUUGCCUUGAUUUUCAUUUUAGAAAAAACACUCCUGUAUAACUCAUAUUCCCUGGGUAACCCGUUUCUUUGCCAAAGCACUAGGACAUCAAAAAGAAUUUCUUUGUACUCAACAAGAUUUGGUGUAUCUGUGAAUGUUCGGACAGUUUAUAGUGGAGAUAUUCAUUAAAAGACUUUUAUUUGAGAGACCCUUUUCAAAACAAAUACAUACAAUUUAAUCCUUGUCAUUUACAUAGCAGAACUUGACAAAUCCCAGGUGCCAGGGAAUCAUGGUGCCUAGAAAUUUAACCGUGGCUGCUAGACUAGGAUAUUCAGAGGUAGAGUUCUGGAAUAAAAUCUUUAUUUUCCCCAGGCAGCCCUGUUUCUGUUCUAUGUUACUUGCUGAAAGGCUGUCUGCCAGUGCCUGCUGAGGCCUGGUUGUCAUGCACACAGAACAGGGCCUUCUCUGUGACUGCCUCCAGACUAUGGAACUCCCUGCUGGAGGAGACUCAUCUUGUGCUCUCCCCUCCCAUCAUCCUGGAAGCAGUUGAAGACCAUCCUAUUUAUUCAGGCUUUUGAGCAGGGAGUUUUUGCACUGAUUGUUUGUUUGUUUGUUCUGUUAGUGGCUGAUGUUUUUAAUUAAGCUUUUACUGUUGUUUUCAGUGGAUUUUAGUGAUAUUUAUAUUUUGUACAUUGCCCUGGAAUCACUGACUGAGGGUGGUUUAGAAAUGCAAAAAAAUGCAUAAUAAACACAAGUUUUUUUUUAAAAAAAAUAACCUGCAUGGCCAAAUGCAAAUCAGAGUUGCUUCAAAUUCAGAGUUGCUUCAGGAAAGGAGAGCUGGUCUUGUGGAAGCAAGCAUGACUUGUCCCCUUAGCUAAGCAGGGUCUGCCCUGGUUACAUAUGAAUGGGAGAAUAGAAGUCUGAGCACUCUAAGAGAUUCUCCUUAGGGGAUAAUGGGGCUGCUCUGGGAAGAGCAGAAGGUUCCAAGUUCCCUCCCUGGCAGCAUCUCCAAGAUAGGGCUGAGAGAGAUUCCUGCCUGCAACCUUGGAGGAGCUGCUGCCAGUCUGUGUAGACCAUACUGAGCUAGAUAGACCAAUGGUCUGACUCAGUAUACGGCAGCUUCCUAUGUUCCUAAAUCAGGGACUGGGACACAAAACUAAAACUGUGCCACGGAGCAGCGCAAAGACCAGGGCUGCACAACUCCCACCCUUCCAGCUGUUGUCGGACUAUGACUCUCAUUGGCCAAUGGUGAGGGAUGAUGGGAGUUGUAGUCCAACAACUGGAAGGCUGAAGUUGUGCUGGCCAAAGCCAGCCAAUUAAUACUCACAGGUGAAGAACACGACCAUUGACAGAAACACAAGGACAGAUGCUGCAGAUUAUUUUACUUGCAAUCAUUAACCUGUUGGGCGUCAGGAACCUUUGAUGAUCUACUGCAAACAGGCCUGAGAUCUGCCAGAAGAUUCCAGCUGACCUUCUGCUCACCUUGUGCGAUCCUAGCUCUCAACAUCUAGCAAAGCUGCUAGAGCAGAGGGUCCAACCUGGGUUCCUCCAGAUGUUUCUGAACGACAACUCCCACCAACCCCAGCUACAAUUUAUUGAGGCUGGGGGUGAUAGGAGUUGUAGUUCAGCAACAUCUGGAGGACCACAGGGUGGGAACCCCUAUACUAGAGAACGUGGUUGAAUUAUUAAGGGCACAGUCGCCCUGGAAAUUCUUCUCCACAAAUCUGCUGGAAGAUGCAUAAUCAUCGUACCUAGCAAAGUGCUUUAUAUGAAUGAUCUUCUUGUAAUCCUUACAACAGAGUUCUCAGACUUGGAUUCCCAGAUGUUGUUGGCCUACAACUCCCAUUAUCCCCAGCCACAGAGGCCAUGAUAGAUGCAUGAUGGGAGUUGUAGUCCAACAACAUCUGGGAUCCCAUGGUUGAGAACCCUUCACCAAGGGAGUUCAUGGCAGAUUCCAACCAGCGAUGCCCUAAGUCAUAGCUCAGGCACUUAACCCAGGCCUUGACAAAUCUCCUUCGGAUCUAGCAGCCAGCCCAUAAAUGUAGGAGCUGGACAAUGGACACUUGACAAAAUUACCAGACUUAGUGGCGGACAUUGUGGAGCGGAGGGUAAAUGUCUUUAUCCUCCUUACAAAUAACCAGGGGUGUAACUAUAAUUGAGCAGGUGGGCUCAAAGAACCUGGGUCCCCCCAGCUCCACCCCUCCCUAUUUUCUUCAUUAUCUCCCUCACUCCGAGGGGUCACCGGGAGAGGGGUGAACACGGGCCCCAUCUCCCCUAGCCCCUACAAAUAAUAUACUUGGAACAGAAACAGGACUGCCAGGGACAAAUACAGGUUUUAUUAAAUAACUCUGCCUCUGAAUAUUCUAGUCAAGGCACCAUGGUUAAAUUUCUGGGUGCUGUGGGUGCCUGGCACCUGGGAUCUGUCAAGCCCUGUCCAUGAGUGCACAGAAUUUCUCGCCUUUCUAUGCUUCUUAAUUUUAAAAAAUUGUAAUUUUAAAUUUAGUUUUAACUGAGGCUUUCUUUUAGUUAAUUCCUAUUAACUUUAUGAGUUUUAUAUUGGUUUUAUAGUGUAUCCGUUUUAUUGAUUUUGUGAGCUGCCCUGAGCAGUAAUAUGCUGGAGGGGUGGGUAUAAAUAAGUAAAAUAAAAUAAAAUUUCUUCUAACGCAA